CCUACGGGAGGCAGCAGUGGGGAAUUUUGGACAAUGGGCGCAAGCCUGAUCCAGCAAUGCCGCGUGCAGGAUGAAGGCCUUCGGGUUGUAAACUGCUUUUGUACGGAACGAAACGGUGAGCUCUAAUACAGUUUGCUAAUGACGGUACCGUAAGAAUAAGCACCGGCUAACUACGUGCCAGCAGCCGCGGUAAUACGUAGGGUGCGAGCGUUAAUCGGAAUUACUGGGCGUAAAGCGUGCGCAGGCGGUGAUGUAAGACAGAUGUGAAAUGCCCGGGCUCAACCUGGGACCUGCAUUUGUGACUGCAUCGCUAGAGUACGGUAGAGGGGGGAUGGAAUUCCGCGUGUAGCAGUGAAAUGCGUAGAUAUGCGGAGGAACACCGAUGGCGAAGGCAAUCCCCUGGACCUGUACUGACGCUCAUGCACGAAAGCGUGGGGAGCAAACAGGAUUAGAUACCCUGGUAGUCCACGCCCUAAACGAUGUCAACUGGUUGUUGGGUCUUCACUGACUCAGUACGAAGCUAACGCGUGAAGUUGACCGCCUUGGGGAGUACGGCCGCAAGGUUGAAACUUCGAAGGAUUGAGG
RNAcentral lists this ribosomal RNA (585 nucleotides) under uncultured bacterium. RNAcentral describes it as "bacterial SSU rRNA". It matches the Rfam family "Bacterial small subunit ribosomal RNA", at positions 338 to 915 of the family's 1533-position model. The record is from RNAcentral.